UACGAAGGGGGCUAGCGUUGCUCGGAAUCACUGGGCGUAAAGGGUGCGUAGGCGGGUCUUUAAGUCAGGGGUGAAAUCCUGGAGCUCAACUCCAGAACUGCCUUUGAUACUGAGGAUCUUGAGUCCGAUAGAGGUGGGUGGAAUUCCUAGUGUAGAGGUGAAAUUCGUAGAUAUUAGGAAGAACACCAGUGGCGAAGGCGGCUUACUGGUCCGGAACUGACGCUGAGGUGCGAAAGCGUGGGGAGCAAACAGG
RNAcentral lists this ribosomal RNA (253 nucleotides) under uncultured bacterium. Its description in RNAcentral is "partial 16S ribosomal RNA". It matches the Rfam family "Bacterial small subunit ribosomal RNA", at positions 524 to 776 of the family's 1533-position model. The record is from RNAcentral.